This 274-nucleotide long non-coding RNA is filed under the name Crocodylus porosus (Australian saltwater crocodile). RNAcentral's name for it is "SOX2 overlapping transcript exon 3 (ENSCPRG00005010577.1)". It matches the Rfam family "SOX2 overlapping transcript exon 3". Rfam says of the family: SOX2 overlapping transcript (SOX2OT) is a long non-coding RNA, containing at least 5 exons. The SOX2 gene, an important regulator of neurogenesis, lies within one of the introns of SOX2OT. The record is from RNAcentral. Lineage: Eukaryota; Metazoa; Chordata; Crocodylia; Crocodylidae.
GUUAAAAGCUAGGGCUAGGACUUGGAGGAUGUGUAGGCAAUCGGAAGGAGAGCCGGGGGAAGAAAAACCGAGAUGGAUUCAUUCUCUGUCCUGGAUGGAGGAGGAGAAGAGGGGAGAGGAGCAGGGGACGAGCAAGCUCCCUCCGACGGGCGCCGUCCGGUGCGAAGCGGUCGCCCCUGCGGGGCUGCGCGCCGCUCCCGCGCCCGCGGACUCGCGCCGGCUGCUGCCAAUCACACCGCCCGUCCUCCACGACACCCCGAGCUGGCAUGGACAU